This is a long non-coding RNA of Amphimedon queenslandica, 223 nucleotides long. RefSeq lists it as uncharacterized. The record is from RefSeq and is a predicted model, not a curated record. The transcript has 3 exons. NCBI's taxonomy places the organism in Eukaryota, Metazoa, Porifera, Demospongiae, Haplosclerida, Niphatidae.
ACACGUCACUCUCAAUCGAAGACAGAGUUAAGGAUAUCGUUGAUAAUCUUACUUUGGAAGAGCUAGUGGAACAAAUGGCACAUGGUGGUGCUACUUUAAAUGGUCCAGCUCCAGGGAUUCCACGGCUGCAUAUAAACCCCUACCAGUGGGGUACUGAGUGUCUCUCUGGAGAUGUUAGUGCUGGAGAUGCAACAUCCUUUCCAAUGCCUAUAGGAAUGGUAAG